Molecule: small nuclear RNA, 108 nt
Organism: Balaenoptera musculus (blue whale)
Lineage: Eukaryota; Metazoa; Chordata; Mammalia; Artiodactyla; Balaenopteridae
Source: Ensembl
GUGCUUGCUUCAGCAGCACAUAUACUAAAACUGGGGCAAUACAGAACAGGAUUAGCAUGGCCCCUGUGCAAGGAUGACACGCGAAUUCAUGAAGCAUUCCAUAUUUUU